Molecule: ribosomal RNA, 822 nt
Filed under: uncultured bacterium
Lineage: Bacteria
Description: bacterial SSU rRNA
Rfam family: Bacterial small subunit ribosomal RNA
Source: RNAcentral
UGCAAGUCGAACGGCAGCACGGGGGCAACCCUGGUGGCGAGUGGCGAACGGGUGAGUAAUACAUCGGAACGUGUCCUGUAGUGGGGGGAUAGCCCGGCGAAAGCCGGAUUAAUACCGCAUACGAUCUGUGGAUGAAAGCGGGGGAUCUUCGGACCUCGCGCUACAGGGGCGGCCGAUGGCAGAUUAGCUAGUUGGUGGGGUAAAGGCCUACCAAGGCGACGAUCUGUAGCUGGUCUGAGAGGACGACCAGCCACACUGGGACUGAGACACGGCCCAGACUCCUACGGGAGGCAGCAGUGGGGAAUUUUGGACAAUGGGCGCAAGCCUGAUCCAGCAAUGCCGCGUGUGUGAAGAAGGCCUUCGGGUUGUAAAGCACUUUUGUCCGGAAAGAAAUCCUUUGAGUUAAUACCUCGAGGGGAUGACGGUACCUGAAGAAUAAGCACCGGCUAACUACGUGCCAGCAGCCGCGGUAAUACGUAGGGUGCAAGCGUUAAUCGGAAUUACUGGGCGUAAAGCGUGCGCAGGCGGUUGUGCAAGACAGGUGUGAAAUCCCCGGGCUUAACCUGGGAACUGCACUUGUGACUGCACAGCUGGAGUGCGGCAGAGGGGGAUGGAAUUCCGCGUGUAGCAGUGAAAUGCGUAGAGAUGUGGAGGAACACCAAUGGCGAAGGCAGCCCCCUGGGUCGAUACUGACGCUCAUGCACGAAAGCGUGGGUAGCAAACUGGAUUAGAUACCCUGGUAGUCCACGCCCUAAACGAUGUCAACUAGUUGUCGGGUCUUCAUUGACUUGGUAACGAAGCUAACGCGUGAAGUUGACCAAU